CAAGAGAUGUAGAACUGAACUGGGUUGAACAAGCUUGAAGAUAAUUUUCUGAAUUUGAUCUUAUACUGAGAUAAUGUUGUUUGGCCGGAAUUGGAGACAAACGUGGCGGAUGCGAGCAACAAGGAGAAGCAACCCCCAGGUGCUCCUGGGCAGCGAGGAAGAGGAUCGAGCGGAGCGUGAUUUGGGGAUCAUGGAGUGAACCUAGAGGAAUAUUGUGUGCGGAGGAGCACGUCGGAGCAAAAUUGUAAUAUGAGCAAAAUUGUAAUUACUGUCCAGUUUAAAUACAAUUAUGUAGAGAAACUUUGGAUCGUAUAGAAUAAAGAGCGUAUAGAAUAAAGAGUGAAUUUGUUUUUAUUCUA
This is a long non-coding RNA of Lolium rigidum, 359 nucleotides long. RefSeq lists it as uncharacterized. The record is from RefSeq and is a predicted model, not a curated record. The transcript has 2 exons. NCBI's taxonomy places the organism in Eukaryota, Viridiplantae, Streptophyta, Magnoliopsida, Poales, Poaceae.